UACAGCUUCCAAAUGUUGAAAGCGUGUUUAUGCAUGUGAGCAAGUAUGUGCGUGUGGGUGCUUGCAUUGAGGCACAUCUGUCCGUGCUUGCUGUUCAUGUUGCAUGUGGUUCUCAAGGGGAAUUUGCAUGGAGCCUCUUUAUCUGUCUCACGAAGGCAGCCUAACAGCCUAAGGCGCCAGUUGAUUGGUCUCUUGUGGAUCCAUUAGAGGCAUUCCUGAAAGGCUAUAGGUUUGCGACGACCCUGAGCUUUCGUAUGGAAAUGCGUUGCAUGGGUGGAAGCUAUUUAUGCUUGAAAUGAGGAAGGUGGUAAAUAAGCGGUGUCCAAAUGUUGGGAUGACGCUUUCUUGUCCACCCAGGUGAUUUUUCUACCCUGGUAAAACUCUUGGCAGCAAGUUUCUUUCAUAAAAAUAUGACAUGAAACUCACCUUUACAGAAGCUCUCUUUCAUUACUGAAGCAGAAGUUUCUGCAUCGUCAUGCUUGUUUCUGCACUCAAGUGCAGAAAAUUUUCAGAUUUUCCCUUAAUCGGAUGCGAUCAUGUGGGGACUGCUUUUCGUGGCCUUCUGUACGUUGGAGUAGAUUGUUUUGAAGAUUCCCCUGGUCCUUACCACUCUUCAAUGGCUACCAGUGCCUUCUUCAAGCAACUCCAUGGCGGUUGGACCUGAAAUUUUCAGGCGCCUUCCAUAUAAUUGACCCAGUUAAUUAUCUUUUGUCGAAUCACGGCAACCUGCCCUUUUUCUUCCCCGUCAGGCAUACCGUCAUUUAAAAUAAGAAUGCUUAGGAUA
Molecule: long non-coding RNA, 784 nt
Organism: Nymphaea colorata (pocket water lily)
Lineage: Eukaryota; Viridiplantae; Streptophyta; Magnoliopsida; Nymphaeales; Nymphaeaceae
Exons: 2
Source: RefSeq, a predicted model, not a curated record